UUGCUCUUUUUCUACAUUGCUUUUAGGUGAUGUCUCUGCUUGUAUUUUCUUUCCAGCUCUUUUAGCAUGUGUAUAUGCUUUUACAAUAUUAUUUUUCUGCAUAACGUACAGACCUCUCUGUGUGUGUGUGGAACGUGACUCUCAGUUGGACGUCUGCUCCUAUGUAUGUGUGUCAGAUCUUCUUAUCUUCUUUACUGGAGAGUUUGGACUUUGAUCUGAACACCCGCUACCAGCUUGCACAAUUGACUGCCGACAUAACCCUGCUGACUGAGUUCCUGCGCACCCCGUCGGACAUCUCCGGGUUCCCACCGCCUCUCAGAUACAGAAUCUGCCCAGCUAAGGUGUGUGGAUGCUUCCACUCAGACUGACCCUCUGCCUGCUGCUUCACCCGUCCCCUCGGACUACCAGACCGAUGAUGACACGGGCUCUGGCCUUUCUCUUCCCUUUUCACCUGCCAGUCCUGACUAUUCCUCUUCUUAUGUCUCAGUGGGCUACAGUUUUUCCCCAGGAUGUACGCCCUAUUACCAGCCAUUCUCUCCCUAUUGUUUGUCUUCGCCCACUGAUUACAGCCCCACCAGCCCUGUUUAUCCUCAAUAAAAUCACGUGUUACUCAUG
Ictalurus punctatus (channel catfish) is the source of this 615-nucleotide long non-coding RNA. RefSeq lists it as uncharacterized. The transcript is spliced from 2 exons. NCBI's taxonomy places the organism in Eukaryota, Metazoa, Chordata, Actinopteri, Siluriformes, Ictaluridae. The record is from RefSeq and is a predicted model, not a curated record.